Long non-coding RNA from Malus domestica (apple), 226 nucleotides. RefSeq lists it as uncharacterized. Lineage: Eukaryota; Viridiplantae; Streptophyta; Magnoliopsida; Rosales; Rosaceae. The record is from RefSeq and is a predicted model, not a curated record.
GUUGUAUCUUGUAUUACUAGAACAUUCUACUCUCUGGCACUCAAGAUGAUGUGGUGCUAAAGGUAGCUGAUUUCGGUCUCUCAAGAAGUUUACAUCCGGGUGAUUAUGCGGAGACAGUUUGUGGAUCCCCGUUGUACAUGGCACCUGAAGUUCUUCAGUUUGAAAGAUACGAUGGGAAGGUUGACAUGUGGAGUAUUGGCGUAAUUCUUUUCGAGCUUCUCAAUGG